This 375-nucleotide ribosomal RNA is filed under the name uncultured bacterium. RNAcentral's name for it is "bacterial SSU rRNA". It matches the Rfam family "Bacterial small subunit ribosomal RNA", at positions 524 to 898 of the family's 1533-position model. The record is from RNAcentral.
UACGUAGGGGGCGAGCGUUGUCCGGAUUCAUUGGGCGUAAAGCGCGUGUAGGCGGUUUGGUAGGUCUCGUGUCAAAUCCUGCGGCUCAACCGCAGUCCGCACGGGAAACCACCUUACUAGAGUCCGGAAGAGGAGAGCGGAAUUCCAGGUGUAGCGGUGAAAUGCGCAGAUAUCUGGAAGAACACCAGUGGCGAAGGCGGCUCUCUGGGACGGUACUGACGCUGAGACGCGAAAGCGUGGGGAGCGAACAGGAUUAGAUACCCUGGUAGUCCACGCCGUAAACGAUGGGCGCUAGGUGUGGGGGGUGUCGACUCCCUCCGUGCCGAAGCUAACGCAUUAAGCGCCCCGCCUGGGGAGUACGGCCGCAAGGCUAAA